AUGAACGCUGGCGGCGUGCCUAAUACAUGCAAGUCGCGCGAACAGACGAGGAGCUUGCUCCUCUGACGUUAGCGGCGGACGGGUGAGUAACACGUGGCUAACCUACCUAUAAGACUGGGAUAACUUCGGGAAACCGGAGCUAAUACCGGAUAAUAUAUUGAACCGCAUGGUUCAAUAGUGAAAGACGGUUUUGCUGUCACUUAUAGAUGGAUCCGCGCCGCAUUAGCUAGUUGGUAAGGUAACGGCUUACCAAGGCAACGAUGCGUAGCCGACCUGAGAGGGUGAUCGGCCACACUGGAACUGAGACACGGUCCAGACUCCUACGGGAGGCAGCAGUAGGGAAUCUUCCGCAAUGGGCGAAAGCCUGACGGAGCAACGCCGCGUGAGUGAUGAAGGUCUUCGGAUCGUAAAACUCUGUUAUUAGGGAAGAACAAAUGUGUAAGUAACUAUGCACGUCUUGACGGUACCUAAUCAGAAAGCCACGGCUAACUACGUG
RNAcentral lists this ribosomal RNA (496 nucleotides) under uncultured bacterium. RNAcentral's name for it is "partial 16S ribosomal RNA". It matches the Rfam family "Bacterial small subunit ribosomal RNA", at positions 29 to 507 of the family's 1533-position model. The record is from RNAcentral.